AAUCUGGGUAUGUGUGAUUCAUGCAAAGUCAUAGAGGAGGUACCUGGAAAAGCAAGGAAUUGAGUGGCAUUCUCCUGAGGCCCAGAUUAAUGCUUACUCCGUUGUACAGCCUUUCCUCUGUCAGAACAUGUAUACGUCAGCGUCUGCGUGAGAGAGGGAGCACUCUUGAUCAACCCUUGAGAAUUCUAUACUCAGAAAGCAAAUACUGCCAAGGAAGAGACUUACAGUCACUGUUUGCAAACAGAGCACACUGAAGUGGAAAAUCCUUCUGAGCUAAUCUUUUUAAAGUAAUCCUUUUAAGAUCUAGAAUUAUUUCUGUUUUACUUAAUUUUAUUUUUCAACAUGCAAUUCUGUAGUUCUGAAAAAACUAUUUUAGAAUAAAACCUUAAUGGCAACGGGUAUUUCUAGGACUCUUAGUUUGUAAGGUACUCUAUAAACUUACAGCUCCAGCUGCUGGCAGAUUUUCCAGGAUUUUCUUAAACGUACAAGUAGGAGAAAACAUGAAAGUGAAAGAAUCCCAGGAAAACAUCAUUUUCUGCAUAGAAGAACAAACAAGCAAAAGCACCAGAAAAUAAAUUCAAUAAACAUUCCUAAGUUUUCUUAUGCUCUCAUAGGUUUAGAGACUAUCAAGUUCCCUUUUAAAAACCAGCCUUGCAUAAAGUAAGCAGUGUAUCAACGAUGCAUUGCUAGCUUGGCAUAGGUCACAGACUAGGCUGAGUCACAAGCUAUUAACAAACUAGUUACCUAGUUAUUGCUGAAGUCUCCUGGUUCCUCUGUGUGCCUGGCUGCCCAGAGGAAUGAGUGGACUGCUGCUCUCAAGCUACAACAUAAAACAAAUCUGCUAAUUUUGGUAGAAUUCAUUUCUCCCAUUGUCUUUUGGCAAAAUAAAGAUGUAAAUAAAUUCUUGCAGACUGAAGGACAGGUGUCAUGGCAUCUAUCUGCACCCUAAGCCAAAACUACAGGUAAAUCAUAGUAGUUGUUAAAAAUGGCUAGAGUGGUGACAAAGAAUGUAAUACUUUUACUGAGAAAUAAAUUAGAGUGGGUAAUCAGAAAUGUUUUUGUUUUGUUUUAUUUUGUUUUUCAUUAUAUGCUUAGUAUCUCUGAAGAAAACCUAAGAAAAAAUGUGGUUUGUGGAAUGAAGACCUUUUCUAUUUACCCGUGGACUUCCUUCAGUGCUUCAUAUCUGGUCACUGUGUCCAUUAACUUGUCAACAAGAAUUUUGCCACUUUUUUCUAUGGAGUGUAUUUUUUCUCAGCAGAUGAGAGCAGAAGAGAGCACCCUGACACAGUAA
RNAcentral lists this long non-coding RNA (1291 nucleotides) under Numida meleagris (helmeted guineafowl). Its description in RNAcentral is "lncRNA (ENSNMEG00000015740.1)". The record is from RNAcentral. Lineage: Eukaryota; Metazoa; Chordata; Aves; Galliformes; Numididae.